CGGACGGGUGAGUAAUGUCUGGGAAAUUGCCCGAUGGAGGGGGAUAACUACUGGAAACGGUAGCUAAUACCGCAUAACGUCGCAAGACCAAAGAGGGGGACCUUCGGGCCUCUUGCCAUCGGAUGUGCCCAGAUGGGAUUAGCUAGUAGGUGGGGUAACGGCUCACCUAGGCGACGAUCCUUAGCUGGUCUGAGAGGAUGACCAGCCACACUGGAACUGAGACACGGUCCAG
Molecule: ribosomal RNA, 232 nt
Filed under: uncultured bacterium
Lineage: Bacteria
Description: partial 16S ribosomal RNA
Rfam family: Bacterial small subunit ribosomal RNA
Source: RNAcentral